GCGCGCGCGCAGGGGUGAACGAUUAUUGAUUGGGGACGAGCGCGCGUCCGACGAGUGAAGCGCGUGAGCAGAAAUCCUCAUCUUCAUUAUCAUCUUCCUCGUCUGCCACUGCGAGUCCAAGCCCAUGUCAUUUCCCUCUGACCUUUACUUGGGCACCCGCUUAGCCAUCUAUCCAAGACCUCCGCGUGGUGGCUAGGGGAGGCGUCCACGUAAAGUUCACUUUCUCAAGUCCCCGUGCACCCUGCCUAUCUCGUACGUAAGCUCAGGAAGCAACUGCAGACACCUUUCCUUCUCCCCGGCAGCUGUGGCGGUUCUCCCAUCCCAGGCUCCCCAACAGCUCUGGCAGGCUCCCCGGCAGUUGCUGCCGCCACUUCUCCUGCCUCCU
Syngnathoides biaculeatus (alligator pipefish) is the source of this 385-nucleotide long non-coding RNA. RefSeq lists it as uncharacterized. The transcript has 3 exons. The record is from RefSeq and is a predicted model, not a curated record. Lineage: Eukaryota; Metazoa; Chordata; Actinopteri; Syngnathiformes; Syngnathidae.